CAGCCAAAUGAGGUACACUAGAUGCAGGGGGGUAACCGCUAGUGGAAAUGGACAAUAAACUAGAAAGUAGUGUACCUAUAGACAGGGAGAAAAUAGCAUAUGCCUGUACUUCAUAAUAAAUAAUUAAAGGUAUGAAGAUAGAAGGCACAGAUAAAAAGACCAAAAGGUCAAAAAACAAAAAAAAAUGAUUGUAUAUUCAAUAGUGUCAAAAAAAAAAUGGAAUAAAAACAGAGAUUCGAACACUCCUUGAAAGGACUCUCUCUUUGAAACAUGGAUGAAACGCGCGCGUCAGGGGCUUUUAGGGCUUUAUACAUGCCAUCUUAUUAUACAACGACAACUACUCUGAGUGUCUUCCUGUAAUUUAGUCUAUUUUUCAGCUUGGUUAGACAUAGGUGCUCUCAAAGGCAC
Molecule: non-coding RNA, 408 nt
Organism: Pelobates cultripes (western spadefoot toad)
Lineage: Eukaryota; Metazoa; Chordata; Amphibia; Anura; Pelobatidae
Source: the annotation of a GenBank genome assembly